UGCUUAUGUGAUAUAUGAGAUGUAAGUUAUGAUAUGAUCAUGUUUAGAUCUAUGUUACAUAAGAUAUACAUGAUUAGAUCUUGUUUAUCAUGAGAUGUAUAAGUGAUAUGCAUAUAUAAUACAUGUAGAUAUAGUUUAUUAGAUCUAAAAUAUAUGAGAUGUAUGUAAUUAGAUCUAAAUAUACAUGAGAUGUAUAAUUGAUCAAACCUA
This 210-nucleotide long non-coding RNA is filed under the name Elaeis guineensis (African oil palm). RNAcentral's name for it is "long non-coding RNA (EGUI_LNC012698)". The record is from RNAcentral. Lineage: Eukaryota; Viridiplantae; Streptophyta; Magnoliopsida; Arecales; Arecaceae.